RNAcentral lists this ribosomal RNA (1278 nucleotides) under metagenome. RNAcentral describes it as "bacterial SSU rRNA". It matches the Rfam family "Eukaryotic small subunit ribosomal RNA", at positions 666 to 1799 of the family's 1831-position model. The record is from RNAcentral.
GAACCGUUGGGGCUAUGGAAACCUCCUUGAUUGGUGGUAGAAGCGCUUCCGCAUUCAACACAUGCAUAUGCCCCUGUCCGUGGAGGUUACUGUGAACUAAACAGCGUGUCCAAAGCAACCACAUGUCUGGCUGAAUGAUCUAGCAUGGAAUAACAAGGCAUCGACCACUGGAGUCAGCCUUUUUGUUGGUUUUACAUGACCCAGUUGGGCAAUGCAGGGCUUGUGCUUCAUUGAGGUUCUUAGUCAGCUCUACCGAACUGUCUUCCCUCAGUUGGACCUUGUUCCCUAUCGGGAUCAAUGGAAGCCAUCGGGGUGGUAUGUAUUCCGACGUGAGCGGUGAAAUGCUUAGACCGUUGGAAGACAAACGACAGCGAAGGCAUUCCGCCAGAAUGUUUUCAUUAAUCAAGAACGAGAGUGUGGGGAUCGAAGAUGAUCAGAUACCAUCGUAGUCCAUUACCGUAAACUAUGCCAACUCGGCAUUGGGAGUCUGUUCACUUUGAAGACUCUCCCAGCAUCAUCCCCCAAUAACGAGAAAUCCAAGUCUAUGGGUUCAGGGGGGAGUACAGUCGCAAGGCUGAAACUUAAAGGAAUUGACGGAAUGACACCACAAGGCGUGGAGUAUGCGGCUUAAUUUGACACAACACGGGGAAGCUUACCAGGUCAGACACAGUAAGGAUUGACAGAUUGAGAGCUCUUUCUUGAUCCUAUGGAUGGUGGUGCAUGGCCGUUUCUGGUUCGUGGAGUGAUCUGUCUGCUUAAUUGCGAUAACGAACGAGAUCUCUACCUCUAAAUAGGCGCCGGUCUCGCAUGUAAGUAGGGAUGUGUUGGGGGCCUUCGUGUCCCCUCAUGUCCUGAGAGUGCCGGGAUCGCUUCUUAGACGGACUGUGCAUGUCUUUAAUGCACGGAAGAGGGAGUCAAUAGCAGGUCUGUGGUGCUCCUAGAUGUUCUGGGCUGCACGCGCACUACACUGGCACAGUAAACGAGUUGCACCUGCUUCGGCAGUCCUGCUUAGAAGUGAGCGUGGGAAAUCUUAGAAAACUGUGCCGUGCUGGGGAUAGAUGAUUGCGAUUAUUUGUCUUGAACGAGGAAUGCCUAGUAGAGGUACUUCAUCAGAGUACCUUGAUUGUGUCCCUGCCAUUUGUACACACCGCCCGUCGUUGCUACCGAUUGGCUGUAAAAUAGAGGCCUUAAGAGUCGCUUCCGCAAAGCUUUGCUUUUGAGGUUGUGACAAAUCUGGCCAAUAUUUCAUUGCUAGAGGAAGCAAAAGUCGUAACAAGG